This is a non-coding RNA of Acidobacteria bacterium 13_1_40CM_4_69_4, 170 nucleotides long. NCBI's taxonomy places the organism in Bacteria, Pseudomonadati, Acidobacteriota. The record is from Rfam.
CCGACCGUGAGGCGGGCGCCGAAAGAAGUGGGGAGCGGAGCCGCGGGCCGACGCACAGGAACCGGAUAGGAGGCGACGUCUCCCAGGGCGAGCGGGCCAAUGACCGCGAAGCUCUUGCGACCAAGGGGGGGCGGCGUAGAUCCGGCGGUCGCGCGGCGAAGGCCGAGAGU